AAAUUGAAGAGUUUGAUCAUGGCUCAGAUUGAACGCUGGCGGCAGGCCUAACACAUGCAAGUCGAACGGUAGCACAGAGAGCUUGCUCUCGGGUGACGAGUGGCGGACGGGUGAGUAAUGUCUGGGAAACUGCCCGAUGGAGGGGGAUAACUACUGGAAACGGUAGCUAAUACCGCAUAACGUCGCAAGACCAAAGUGGGGGACCUUCGGGCCUCACACCAUCGGAUGUGCCCAGAUGGGAUUAGCUAGUAGGUGGGGUAACGGCUCACCUAGGCGACGAUCCCUAGCUGGUCUGAGAGGAUGACCAGCCACACUGGAACUGAGACACGGUCCAGACUCCUACGGGAGGCAGCAGUGGGGAAUAUUGCACAAUGGGCGCAAGCCUGAUGCAGCCAUGCCGCGUGUAUGAAGAAGGCCUUCGGGUUGUAAAGUACUUUCAGCGAGGAGGAAGGCGUUGUGGUUAAUAACCACAGCGAUUGACGUUACUCGCAGAAGAAGCACCGGCUAACUCCGUGCCAGCAGCCGCGGUAAUACGGAGGGUGCAAGCGUUAAUCGGAAUUACUGGGCGUAAAGCGCACGCAGGCGGUUUGUUAAGUCAGAUGUGAAAUCCCCGGGCUCAACCUGGGAACUGCAUUUGAAACUGGCAAGCUUGAGUCUCGUAGAGGGGGGUAGAAUUCCAGGUGUAGCGGUGAAAUGCGUAGAGAUCUGGAGGAAUACCGGUGGCGAAGGCGGCCCCCUGGACAAAGACUGACGCUCAGGUGCGAAAGCGUGGGGAGCAAACAGGAUUAGAUACCCUGGUAGUCCACGCCGUAAACGAUGUCUACUUGGAGGUUGUGCCCUUGAGGCGUGGCUUCCGGAGCUAACGCGUUAAGUAGACCGCCUGGGGAGUACGGCCGCAAGGUUAAAACUCAAAUGAAUUGACGGGGGCCCGCACAAGCGGUGGAGCAUGUGGUUUAAUUCGAUGCAACGCGAAGAACCUUACCUGGUCUUGACAUCCACGGAAGUUUUCAGAGAUGAGAAUGUGCCUUCGGGAACCGUGAGACAGGUGCUGCAUGGCUGUCGUCAGCUCGUGUUGUGAAAUGUUGGGUUAAGUCCCGCAACGAGCGCAACCCUUAUC
This 1117-nucleotide ribosomal RNA is filed under the name Salmonella enterica subsp. enterica serovar Kentucky. RNAcentral describes it as "bacterial SSU rRNA". It matches the Rfam family "Bacterial small subunit ribosomal RNA", at positions 1 to 1109 of the family's 1533-position model. The record is from RNAcentral. Lineage: Bacteria; Pseudomonadati; Pseudomonadota; Gammaproteobacteria; Enterobacterales; Enterobacteriaceae.